This is a non-coding RNA of Phasianus colchicus (ring-necked pheasant), 5196 nucleotides long. The record is from RefSeq and is a predicted model, not a curated record. NCBI's taxonomy places the organism in Eukaryota, Metazoa, Chordata, Aves, Galliformes, Phasianidae.
GUUCUCCUCAGAGAGCUUUGGGUGCAGAAUUGCCUGCAGGGAAGGCUGUGCCAAAUCCUCCUGUGCUGGAGCCCCGCAGGCAUCCCAGGGUGGCUGUUGUCUUUAUUGACUUCCCCGAAAAGACCGCUCGGUUCGAGGCUUUGUUUCUCUGAGAUUUCUCUUCAUGCUUUCUGUUAAGGUCCUGGAGGAUGGAAGGUGGCAUGGGAAGAUGGAAAAUAUUCCAAGAGACUGUCCCGUUUACUAAGGGCAAUCCUGAAGAAGGCAGCACGGGGUGAGUGUGUUUCUGUCUGUUCCCUGAAGGACUUGGGAAGCUGAGUUUCUAGAAGUAGACGUGGAGAAACUGUAGCGUGCACAGCAGGAAAGGACAGAUGAGAGCCCUGCUGCGGUGAUGGCCCUGUGUCUGAACUGGCUUGCAGCUUUUGGCUGCUCUCUUUGAGGGGAGGAAUUGAGCAUCGUCUUGCAACUCGCCAGAAUCACACCAGGUGCCCCGUGAACGAGAAGCUUGCCUGCAACCUGCUGGUCUCCCAGCAGGAUGGGGAUUGCUGUCUGUGCUCACAGAGGGAAAGUGUGCAGCCCUUCAGUUUGUCUCACGGAACGGCACGCAGUUGGGACUAGGAAUGAGGUGCAGCGCAAAAAGCCCAGGCUUUCUUCCUAAACCGGACUGGUUCCCUUGAGAACUGGUGCCUCUUGAAGAUACCGUCUUCCUGAUGAGAAGCAGUUCCUUACAGCCCCACUCUCUUCCCUCCUUUCUAAAGAGGCAGAUGGAGAGCCUGUGCACAGGGUGCAUUUCAGCAAGGCAGCCGUCUCACACUGCCCGUCCAGCCGGGAGCGACAGAGGCCACGCAAACAGCUGGUGCUGCAGAACAACAUUCAGCAGCAGAUGAGGGGAGGAAAUAGGACCCACCAACGUACCUCCUGCCCAGAGUCCCUGUAUUCCAGAGCUUGAGGCGCCUUCCUUGAGGCACCAGGCACAACAGCAUCCUGGAGCUGGAUCCGUCCUGUGGCAGUUCUUGUCCAUGUCACAUAUCUCCGAUUAACAGAAUGACCCAGGUUGGCAAAUCCAUGGCCCGGGAAGGUCUGGACCGUGGCAGAGCCAGAGUGUAAACAAAGCUGAGAGGCCAACAAGAGGUUCCAGAGUGCCUUGCUGUGCAGUGCCUUUGGGAGUUCCCUUUGCUUCGCUGGAAUCAGGGAAACAUUGCAGCCCGAGCAUUGUCACGUCUUCCUGGAGGCCAACAGAAUGCAAGACAACGUUUUGUGGCCAUGUCAGAGCUCUUGUGAGACUGCCAGUAGGGCACGAGACACAGCACGUUGUUCCUGCAGGUGCGGAAGGGGAGGGACGUGGAAAUGGCAGAGAAGACCAAGUGUUACUGAAGUACUGCCUGGCACUGACUGCAGCUCUCGUGGUUUCCAUGCUGGCAGCAAUGAUAGCGUGCUGUCUGCUUAUCCGGCGAUGGAGGCAGAGCAACCAGCGCCUGGCUGCAGCUGAUGGAGCCCAGCAUGAUGUCCACGGCCACAGCAUGCCCUCGGAUGGACGUCCUGCUUUCCUCAAGGGGCCUGGCAGAUGGAGAUGAUGCCAACAACAAUGACCACCUGCCCAGCGGCCGCGUGGCACCACCAGGGCAGCCCCUGCCAGGCCAGCAGAGGUACAGUCUGUUGCGCUGCUCCAAGUAGCACUCAGCUGCCACGAUAGCAGCCUGCAGCUCCUCUCCAGCACCUGCCCUAGGUCACUGAUUUCUCAGGAUCCUGCAGGGGGUGUGACAUCACCGUGCUUCAACUCUCAGCACUGCUUCCCUCCUCCAGAGCCAGGGCCACAAACAAAGCAGCCGUCGGUGUCAGCUGGAAAAGCAUCCCAGUGCUCUGCAAGAGGACACAGGGCUCCUGUUCUGACAGCUUCCCUCAGCAGCCCACUGCCGAAAUGCUUUGUGGGCUUCCUUCCAGCGAGAUGCUAAGGACAGAGGCAGUCACAUCAGCUGCCUGUACAUCAACUGGGAGAUGAUUUCAUGUUCAUCCCUGGCCAACACAACAGGGGCUUCUUUCUUUAACACCUUCAUUACGCCUUCUCAACUGAGUAUAGCUUUUCUAAAACAAUCCUCAGCACUACAAAUGACAAUAUUCAGAACAUCUAUAUCUAUAUGGAAUGGAGAUGUUCCUAAUGAAUUAAAUAAAAUUUUAAAAAAAAAGAAAAAGAAACAAGCAAAGAACCCAAGAAGCUGCUUCCUUCAAAAGUCAGAGCAUUCUGACAAGGAGAAAACAGUAAAACUAAGCCUGCCAUACCACGUCAUUGCCAUUCAGGGCUCAAACUGAGGCAGCCAGCUGAGCAGGGAAGGACUUCUAUCAGAUGCUGCUCAGUAACGGCACCCAGAACAAAGCAGCAAGGAUGUUACGAGUAGGAGACUGCUGCUGGCAGUUAUCACCUUCUGUCUUCGCAGCAGCACGGCUCAAAACCAGAAAUCUCUCGUCAGGCCAAGAUCUUUGUGAAGCAGCACUUUGUUCACUGUGGCAAGUAGGGGCACACAGCCCCUACUGACAAGGGAGGAAUUGCGUGCCUGCUCAGUGAAAUCCACGCUGUUCCACAGCCUGGCUCUGACACAGCUAAUCUCUCUCCUGGAACUCAUUGGUGGAAUGUCUCAGGCUCACAAUCUUCCUGACACUGUUGCUGCCAUGUGAGGUCUGUUACCAACCUGUUGUUUUGAGCUAUCUUCUGUCCUUUUCUGUGAAGAUAGGAGGACAGCACUUCCAAAAGUCAGCACAUUGGUUCUGUCCUGUGCUAGGCUGGCUCUCCCCACCCUGCGCUUUUACCUUGCCACGAGCCUGUGCCAGUUCGACUCUGCUUGGAACACCCCAGUCCCAGGCACAAUCUGCCUCUCACACAAGGCAGCAGGUAGGUGCGGAGAGGAUGGCCAAGGCGGCAGGUAAGCAGGGUGAGGCGUGCAAAGGUGGCAGGAAGGCAAUGUGGGGCAUGUCACUGCAUCAGGUAGGUGUUGCAAGGUGUGCCAGGGCGGCAGGAAGAUGCGGCAAGGCAAGGCGGCAGGGGCCUUCUGCAAUGUGUGCAAAGAAUCACAGAAUCACAGAAUGGCCUGGGUUGACAAGGAGCACAGUGAUCACGUAGUUUCAAGCCCCUGCUGUGUGCAGGGUCGCCAACCAGCAGAGCAGGCUGCCCAGAGCCACAUCCAGCCUGGCCUCGAAUGCCUCCAGGGAUGGGGCAUCCACAACCUCCUUGGGCAAGCUGUUCCAGGCAGCAGGUAGGCAAGGUGAGGCAAGCCAAGGCAGCAGGUGGGCACUGAGAAGUGUGCAAAGGUAGCAGGAAGGCACUGCGAGGCGUGCAGGCCAGCUCUGGGCUCUAAAGCCACAUCGACAGCCAGACAAGUCAGUGCCGACCGUGGGGCCGAAAGCCACAGCCCGAGAGGCUGGAAGCAGCCCAAGGACUUAAAGCCACAGCCACAGUCAGAGAGGCCAGCACCAAGCCCAGGGCCCGAAGCCCCAGCCAGUGAGGCUGCCACCGGCCCAAGGGCCGAAAGCCACAGCCCCAGAGCUGGGAAGCAGCCCAGGGACUUCAAGCCACAGCCACAGUCUGAGAGGCCAGCACUGGCCCGGCUCCUAAAGGCCCAAACAGCGAGGCUGGCACCGGCCCAAGGGCCGAAAGCCAAAGCCACUGCCAUGGAGGCCGGCAGCAUCCCCGGGGCCUAAAGCCAAAGCCACAGCCCGAGAGGCCGGCACCACACCUGGGGCUUCAGGACACAACUGCAGACAGGCUGGCACUGGCCUCCAGGCCUGAAGCCACAGCCACAGAAACAGCACUGGCCCAGGGCUUAACAGCCACAGCCACAGAAACAGCACUGGCCCUGGGACCUAAAGCCAAAGCCUCAGAGGCCAACAUCAGCCCCGGGGCCUAAAGCCACAACCAGAGAUGCCGGCACCGGCCCAGAGCACGCAGAUGUGCAUUCCUGUUCUUUCCUGUGCUUCCUAUGGGACACUCUUGACCACUAUCAGGUCCACGCGGCUUUUUGUUUGUUUGUUUUAAAUCAGGACACAUUAUGCCUGUUGUGUUUUCCAUACGUUGCUUAACAAAGUCUCCCUCAGGAAAUGGUUUUGAGUUUCAUGCAGUCAGAUUUGCUUUCUGUAACAGAGUCCACCUGAAUUUUUAAACUAUUUUGUUGAGGUUUAAGACAUUCUGUUCUUUAUAGUACCCCUGUUUUGUCUUUAUGGAGCAUUUCUUGAUACGCAUCGAGUUUGGCAGCCUGGAGAAGAGAAGGCUCCAGGCAGACCUAAGAGCGGCCUUCAGUAUUCCAAGGGGGGCUGCAAGACAGACGGGGACAGAGUCUUUAGAUUGGACACACGGAAGAAGUCUGUUACAAUAGAAGGGUGGCACUGGAAGAGGGGCACUGAGGGACCCUGGGGCUCUCUGGAGCCCUGAGCACUGGGCCUCAGGGCCUGGGGAUGGAUGGGAUGGAGGGCACCAUCCCUGCCCCGCUCCAGGGGACCAUUGCCACCCCCAGACCUUCCCUCCUGCUUUGUGGGGCUGUGCAGAGGAGGAGGCUCUCGAGGUGUCCUAGAGAUGGCCCAGGGUCACUGUGCAGAUGGGACAGAGGCUGUGGCUGCUGCCCCCAGGGGACCCACAUCCCGCCCUGGGCUGCUGCCAGCCCUUCUCCUGCCCAAAAUCCUGAGGCACAAACCCUGCAGGGACAAGGCUUCUCCUGCUCAGAGGCAGCGUUUGGCAUCCUCUCUGAUCAUAAUCUCUGACAUCCUCCAAUGACCAAUAAAGCCUUCAGCAAAGCCACGCUCUGUGUGUCUGUGUCCUCGUCCCCACGCUCAGCAGGACUGCUCGUGUCUGUCCCUGCCUUGCAGAGGCCACUGCUAAGAGCUGGGAGGGAUCCCCAGCUCCAUGCCCCGCACCUCACGUCCUGCACCUGUGGGCCUCUCCAUCCCCUCUGUGUUGUGCUGCCUGCUCCAAAAUCCUAAAGGACGGAGUUGCCCGUGCUGCCAAGCAGCCCCAGUACCCUCCGUCUGCUCUCUCCCAAUUCCGCCUUCCACUUCCUCCCAAACCCUUCACCCUUUCUUCCACCUCCAUGGCCAUGACGUCUCCAGCUCGCUCUCCUUUUACCCCCUCCCUUACCACACCCAAUUGCCCCUCACUUGGAUCUGCUCCAGCCCUCUUCCUUCAGUCCCACUUCCCCUCCAUCAUUACCCAACAUGGAG